AAUAUAUCUUUAAAAAUUUUAGUUGUUAAUAGGUAUAUAAAAAACAAAUAUUUACGUGAUUUGAUAUCUAUAUUAAAAGCUUAACUCCUUCACCCGUUAAUAAGCCAAAACCCUUUUCCAGAGAUAACGACAUCUAUGAACAUCGUCGUCUCAUGAUGAAAACAUUUUUCUUGAACGCCAAUGAGGCGAUAUAUCGCCAAUAGCUAGAUCGGAUUGUUGAGAUAUGAGCUUCCAAUGUUGACGGUGCUGACAAAGUAUUUUAUUUCGGGGAAGGGGCGAAACAUUUUAGGGAAAGAAUCUAGAGAAGAAAGGUCAGGUGAACACGAAUUUUUGAGGGUGGGUCGAAGGUUCCGUGAUGUCUAUUGGUCCGUGAAGUUAAUGAAAUACAGAUCUUUUGGAAAGAAGCCAAAUGUCAUUGAAACUUAUUUAUGAGAACUCGUGACAUAUAUUUUUGACACUCUGAAACUAACUGUUUUUUCGUGAGUAUCUUUCAAGACAAUUCAGUAACAAGCUAUUUUUUCAGGUAUAUUGCUUUUCUGAUGUGUAGUUCAAUCUGUACACUUCACUUAAAAUCCUAAUGCUUGGUGAGUGAAAUUUUAACCUAUGAAAUUAAACACAAUAUUUAAUACAAUACAAUAUUUUAUAAUAUUUUUACAUUAAUACAAUAUUUUGAAAUUAUUACAAUAUUUUUGUUACACUUCUAUAAAUGUUAUUUGAAGAUUUUCUAGGUUAUAUACGUUCCUCAACUUGAGGGUAUUAAAAUAAACAAAUAAUGUUUUAAUAUAACUUUAGAAAAAUAUUGAGUGAGCUUGAAUUGUUCAGAUCUUUCUUUAAAAUAAUAUCAUUCUAAAAAGAAA
Parasteatoda tepidariorum (common house spider) is the source of this 857-nucleotide long non-coding RNA. RefSeq lists it as uncharacterized. NCBI's taxonomy places the organism in Eukaryota, Metazoa, Arthropoda, Arachnida, Araneae, Theridiidae. The record is from RefSeq and is a predicted model, not a curated record.